GAUGAAGAACGUAGCGAAAUGCGAUAAGUAAUGUGAAUUGCAGAAUUCAGUGAAUCAUCGAAUCUUUGAACGCACAUUGCGCCCGCCAGUAUUCUGGCGGGCAUGCCUGUUCGAGCGUCAUUUCAACCAUCAAGCCCCCGGCUUGUGUGGGGACCUGCGGCUGCCGCAGGCCCUGAAAACCAGUGGCGGGCUCGCUAGUCACUCCGAGCGUAGUAAUACAUCUCGCUCAGGGCGUGCUGCGGGUUCCGGCCGUUAAAAAGCCUUAUUUACCCAAGGUUGACCUCGGAUCAGGUAGGAAGACCCGCUGAACUUAAGCAUAUCAAUAAGCGGAGGA
This 334-nucleotide unclassified non-coding RNA is filed under the name soil metagenome. Its description in RNAcentral is "partial contains 5.8S ribosomal RNA, internal transcribed spacer 2, and large subunit ribosomal RNA". The stretch from base 1 to 120 matches the Rfam family "5.8S ribosomal RNA", at positions 35 to 154 of the family's 154-position model. The record is from RNAcentral.